This 407-nucleotide ribosomal RNA is filed under the name uncultured bacterium. RNAcentral's name for it is "partial 16S ribosomal RNA". It matches the Rfam family "Bacterial small subunit ribosomal RNA", at positions 30 to 526 of the family's 1533-position model. The record is from RNAcentral.
AUUGAACGCUGGCGGCAGGCCUAACACAUGCAAGUCGAGCGGAGCGGCGGACGGGUGAGUAAUGCCUAGGAAGCUGCCUGGUAGUGGGGGAUAACGUCCGGAAACGGGCGCUAAUACCGCAUACUAUAAGAUGAGCAUCGGUCGGAUUAGCUAGUUGGUGGGGUAAGGGCCUACCAAGGCGACGAACCGUAACUGGGCUGAGAGGAUGAUCAGUCACACUGGAACGGAGACACGGUCCAGACGCCUACGCGAGGACGCAGUGGGGAAUUUUGGACAAUGGGCGAAAGCCUGAUCCAGCCAUGCCGCGUGUGUGAAGAAGGUCUUCGGAUUGUAAAGCACUUUAAGUUGGGAGGCGUUACCAACAGAAUAAGCACCGGCUAACUUCGUGCCAGCCGCCGCGGUAAUAC